GACGAACGCUGGCGGCGUGCCUAAUACAUGCAAGUAGAACGCUGAAGAGAGGAGCUUGCUCUUCUUGGAUGAGUUGCGAACGGGUGAGUAACGCGUAGGUAACCUGCCUGGUAGCGGGGGAUAACUAUUGGAAACGAUAGCUAAUACCGCAUGACAUUGAUUAUCGCAUGAUAAUUGAUUGAAAGAUGCAAUUGCAUCACUACCAGAUGGACCUGCGUUGUAUUAGCUAGUUGGUGAGGUAACGGCUCACCAAGGCGACGAUACAUAGCCGACCUGAGAGGGUGAUCGGCCACACUGGGACUGAGACACGGCCCAGACUCCUACGGGAGGCAGCAGUAGGGAAUCUUCGGCAAUGGGGGGAACCCUGACCGAGCAACGCCGCGUGAGUGAAGAAGGUUUUCGGAUCGUAAAGCUCUGUUGUAAGAGAAGAACGGGUGUGAGAGUGGAAAGUUCACACUGAGACG
RNAcentral lists this ribosomal RNA (464 nucleotides) under Streptococcus sanguinis. RNAcentral describes it as "bacterial SSU rRNA". It matches the Rfam family "Bacterial small subunit ribosomal RNA", at positions 28 to 474 of the family's 1533-position model. The record is from RNAcentral. Lineage: Bacteria; Bacillati; Bacillota; Bacilli; Lactobacillales; Streptococcaceae.